AAGAGACAGCAGCAGCCGCGGUAAUACGUAGGGUGCAAGCGUUAAUCGGAAUUACUGGGCGUAAAGCGCACGUAGGCGGAUAUUUAAGUCAGGGGUGAAAUCCCAGAGCUCAACUCUGGAACUGCCUUUGAUACUGGGUAUCUUGAGUAUGGAAGAGGUGAGUGGAAUUCCGAGUGUAGAGGUGAAAUUCGUAGAUAUUCGGAGGAACACCAGUGGCGAAGGCGGCUCACUGGUCCAUUACUGACGCUGAGGUGCGAAAGCGUGGGGAGCAAACAGGAUUAGAUACCCGUGUAGUCCCUGUCUCUUAUAC
RNAcentral lists this ribosomal RNA (310 nucleotides) under uncultured bacterium. Its description in RNAcentral is "partial 16S ribosomal RNA". It matches the Rfam family "Bacterial small subunit ribosomal RNA", at positions 503 to 807 of the family's 1533-position model. The record is from RNAcentral.